AAGUCGUAACAAGGUUUCCGUAGGUGAACCUGCGGAAGGAUCAUUAACACGUACUACAUCCAUAUUCAAACCCAACGCGAAUUUUUUUAUCUCCCUUUGUGCUCGUAUUCAGAGCCUUAGGCUAACUUUGUGGGUGCACAUUCUAUGUGUGUCGCCCACUUUUAUAUCAAUUUUUACCCCAAUCUCUAAACAAACAUUAAUCAGUGGCUAUGUGUUUUCAUGUAGUUCCUACUGACCCUUCUUCGGAACCUCUUGAAACAGGUUCCUGUGCUUCUCUUAUGAGAAUCAUGAAUACAAUAGUGUAAACACACAACUCUUAGCAAUGGAUAUCUAGGUUCUC
This 340-nucleotide unclassified non-coding RNA is filed under the name fungal sp. Its description in RNAcentral is "partial internal transcribed spacer region". The stretch from base 1 to 46 matches the Rfam family "Eukaryotic small subunit ribosomal RNA", at positions 1786 to 1831 of the family's 1831-position model. Lineage: Eukaryota; Fungi. The record is from RNAcentral.